GACGAACGCUGGCGGCGUGCUUAACACAUGCAAGUCGAACGGAAAGGCCCUGCUUUUGUGGGGUGCUCGAGUGGCGAACGGGUGAGUAACACGUGAGUAACCUGCCCUUGACUUUGGGAUAACUUCAGGAAACUGGGGCUAAUACCGGAUAGGAGCUCCUGCUGCAUGGUGGGGGUUGGAAAGUUUCGGCGGUUGGGGAUGGACUCGCGGCUUAUCAGCUUGUUGGUGGGGUAGUGGCUUACCAAGGCUUUGACGGGUAGCCGGCCUGAGAGGGUGACCGGCCACAUUGGGACUGAGAUACGGCGCAGACUCCUACGGGAGGCAGCAGUGGGGAAGAUUGCACAAAGGGCGGAAGCCUGAUGCAGCAACGCCGCGUGCGGGAAGACGGCCUUCGGGUUGUAAACCGCUUUCGCAUGUGACGAAGAGUGAGUGACGGUAAUGUGUAAAGAAGCACCGGCUAACUACGUG
This 468-nucleotide ribosomal RNA is filed under the name uncultured bacterium. RNAcentral describes it as "partial 16S ribosomal RNA". It matches the Rfam family "Bacterial small subunit ribosomal RNA", at positions 28 to 507 of the family's 1533-position model. The record is from RNAcentral.